RNAcentral lists this ribosomal RNA (253 nucleotides) under uncultured bacterium. RNAcentral describes it as "partial 16S ribosomal RNA". It matches the Rfam family "Bacterial small subunit ribosomal RNA", at positions 524 to 776 of the family's 1533-position model. The record is from RNAcentral.
UACGAAGGGGGCUAGCGUUGCUCGGAAUCACUGGGCGUAAAGGGCGCGUAGGCGGCCAUUCAAGUCAGAGGUGAAAGCCCAAGGCUCAACCUUGGAAUUGCCUUUGAUACUGUUUGGCUUGAGACCGGAAGAGGUUAGUGGAACUGCGGGUGUAGAGGUGAAAUUCGUAGAUAUUCGCAAGAACACCAGUGGCGAAGGCGGCUAACUGGUCCGGUUCUGACGCUGAGGCGCGAAAGCGUGGGGAGCAAACAGG